GAUACUGGCUCAGGAUGAACGCUAGCGGCAGGCUUAACACAUGCAAGUCGAGGGGCAGCGGGAUGUAGCAAUACAUGCCGGCGACCGGCGGAUGGGUGCGUAACGCGUAUGCAACCUACCUUAUACAGGGGAAUAACCUUUCGAAAGGGAGACUAACACCCCAUGGUAUUGAUUUAAGGCAUCUUAGAUUAAUUAAAUAUUUAUAGGUAUAAGAUGGGCAUGCGUAUGAUUAGCUAGUUGGUAAGGUAACGGCUUACCAAGGCGACGAUCAUUAGGGGUUCUGAGAGGAAGGUCCCCCCACACUGGUACUGAGACACGGACCAGACUCCUACGGGAGGCAGCAGUGAGGAAUAUUGGUCAAUGGGCGCAAGCCUGAACCAGCCAUGCCGCGUGCAGGAAAAGACGGCCUUAUGGGUUGUAAACUGCUUUUACAUAAGACUAACCGUAUAUUUGCGAAUAUACCUGAAUGUAUUAUGAGAAUAAGGAUCGGCUAACUCCGUGCCAGCAGCGGC
This 512-nucleotide ribosomal RNA is filed under the name uncultured bacterium. RNAcentral's name for it is "bacterial SSU rRNA". It matches the Rfam family "Bacterial small subunit ribosomal RNA", at positions 15 to 518 of the family's 1533-position model. The record is from RNAcentral.